ACCGCGAUAACUCCGCCCCCGCCUCCUCGCUCCUCCCCCGCUGCCAUAGCCCGCCGCCUCCUCGCUCCUCCUCGCCGCCCGCCCCACGAAUCCCCGCGCCUCCUAGCUUCUCCUCCGCGCCCGCGAAUCCCCGCCGCCUCCUCGCUCCGCGCGCAUCCUCCCUCCUCGCGACGGGGCAGCGAGGUCGUCCCCUUCCGCUGCCACCCCCGCUGCCCACGCCGGAGACGAGGUCGUCCCCAGCCACCGCCGGAGCCGUGGUCUUCCCCGGAGCCGACGUCGUCCCCAGUUGCCGCCGGAGCCGAGUUCUUCCCCAUCCGCAUUGGAUCUGAAUGCACCACAUAUCUUCCCCUCUGGAAAUUAUUAUUUUUGGAUGAAAUUGACGGAAUACCAAUGGCUAUUGCAACAAGUCCCUUCAGCGACAUCUGGAAACCUAGGAUCUCACCUACAAAAAUAGGAAUCCAGGAGUUGGAGCCAUUCGAACAUGCAGCAUGUCUCUUGCUAAUGUCUUCCUGAGCUUUCAAAUCAUAAGGCCCUUGCCUCACUGAUCAAAAUAUUCAGGUCACUAGAGGUUCUAAUUUGCUUGCAAUCCUUAUGGUUUCCACUCAUCACAGUGAUAAGGCACCAUAUUCUUAUGGCCAGUGCUUCUAUGUUCUGAGCUUACUGGUAUCCAUAUUUUUAAGCACUCUAUUUCUUUGCUCUGGUUUCCUUUUUUGCAACCAGUUUCUGAUGGAACAUUUCUUAUGGCUAGAAAUUGUCACGUAAUCUUCAAUGCGCUCUAGAAAUUUCAGAUUGAGCUAUUUGAAUUUUGCUAUGUUAAUUUGAAUAAUACAGUAUUCCAAAGCGGCAGUGGAUCAUUAUAACCAACUACCACAAACUAUUCAAUUGCAGAAUUUCUGCAUUCCAAUUUUUGCAUUUCUCAAUUUAAUCAUGUAUUUUGGUUUGAGUAAUUGCAAAGUAAAAUUGAUUUUGUAAUUGUAAAAAUGAAUGAAUUUUCUGGACAACAUUUAAUGUGAUUUUAUCAAAACACAAUGAACCUUUUAAUUUGUCCGUAUAGUUCUGUUUUCUUUUAUUUUCAAAAGUAAGAUCCUCAGUAUAAGCUUUUGUUUGUGGAUCUCUUAAUAAUGAAUAUUGGGGGUCCAAUCCUCUCUUGCUCCACCGUUGGACCAGUAGUAGCAGCAGGUUGGAAGCUGGUGAACACGAUCUCAGGGAAGGACACAAUGGCGGCUUCGUACGAUCUCACAUAUGACAAUUCUAUCAUUGCCUUAGAUUUUACCAACCAAAGAUGCAAGGGGUACUCAUUCUUUUGAUUUUGUCCAGAUGGACAGCUCCAGUCCAUAACAUUCUAUCUACACAGUCAACGACUCAGUUAAUAAUAAAACUGAAAAAAUGUUCUCUUUUAUUUUUAAAUAAGAUUUUCACACAACCUGAAAGUAAGAUAUCAAAGGAGCACUG
RNAcentral lists this long non-coding RNA (1452 nucleotides) under Oryza sativa Indica Group (long-grained rice). Its description in RNAcentral is "lncRNA OsLaMu_04g0011630". The record is from RNAcentral. Lineage: Eukaryota; Viridiplantae; Streptophyta; Magnoliopsida; Poales; Poaceae.